GGACUACCAGGGUUUCUAAUCCUGUUUGCUCCCCUAGCUUUCGUGCCUCAGUGUCAGGAGUUGUCCAGGGACUCGCCUUCGCCACUGGUGUUCCUCUCGAUAUCUACGCAUUUCACUGCUACACCGAGAAUUCCAGUCCCCCCUCCAACCCUCGAGCAAGGUAGUUUCCAAUGCAGUUUCGGAGUUGAGCUCCGAGAUUUCACAUCCGACUUACCUCGCCACCUACGCACCCUUUACGCCCAGUGAAUCCGAACAACGCUUGGGACCUCUGUAUUACCGCGGCUGCUGGCAC
RNAcentral lists this ribosomal RNA (292 nucleotides) under uncultured Verrucomicrobiota bacterium. RNAcentral describes it as "uncultured Verrucomicrobia bacterium partial 16S ribosomal RNA". The record is from RNAcentral. Lineage: Bacteria; Pseudomonadati; Verrucomicrobiota.